Molecule: long non-coding RNA, 1340 nt
Filed under: Homo sapiens (human)
Lineage: Eukaryota; Metazoa; Chordata; Mammalia; Primates; Hominidae
Description: HSALNT0195663
Source: RNAcentral
AUGUAUGAAUCACCUUACAUAUAUGAAUCUGCAUUUAACCCUCACAAUCACCUUACAUGUAUGAAUCACCUGACAUAUAUGAAUCUGCAUUUAACCUUCACAAUCACCUUACAUGUAUGAAUCACCUUACAUAUAUGAAUCUGCAUUUAACCCUCACAAUCACCUUACAUGUAUGAAUCACCUUACAUAUAUGAAUCUGCAUUUAACCCUCACAAUCACCUUACAUGUAUGAAUCACCUUACAUAUAUGAAUCUGUAUUUAACCGUCACAAUCACCUUACAUGUAUGAAUCACCUUACAUAUAUGAAUCUGCAUUUAACCCUCACAAUCACCUUACAUGUAUGAAUCACCUGACAUAUAUGAAUCUGCAUUUAACCCUCACAAUGUUACAUAUAUGAAUCUGCAUUUAACCUUCACAGUCACCUUACAUGUAUGAUCACCUUACAUAUAUGAAUCUGCAUUUAACCUUCACAAUCACCUUACAUGUGUGAAUCACCUUACAUAUAUGAAUCUGCAUUUAACCCUCACAAUCACCUUACAUGUAUGAAUCACCUGACAUAUAUGAAUCUGCAUUUAACCUUCACAAUCACCUUACAUGUAUGAAUCACCUUACAUAUAUGAAUCUGCAUUUAACCCUCACAAUCACCUUACAUGUAUGAAUCACCUUACAUAUAUGAAUCUGCAUUUAACCCUCACAAUCACCUUACAUGUAUGAAUCACCUUACAUAUAUGAAUCUGUAUUUAACCUUCACAAUCACCUUACAUGUAUGAAUCACCUUACAUAUAUGAAUCUGCAUUUAACCCUCACAAUCACCUUACAUGUAUGAAUCACCUUACAUAUAUGAAUCUGCAUUUAACCUUCACAAUCACCUCACAUGUAUGAAUCACCUUACAUAUAUGAAUCUGCAUUUAACCCUCACAAUGUAAUUGCCACUUUGCAGAUGGGGAAACUGAGGAUGAGAGAGGUUAACUUGCCCAAGUAUGGUUUCAUAGCCCUCCAUGACAGGAAGGUGGGAGAGCCAAAUGAAGACCAUCCUGGCCAUCUCUGGGCUCAGCUGCUCUUUGCGGCUUGACAGGGACCAGCUAUAUGAAUUGCGGUCACCACUUUUAAUCAGCUCCUCCAGGAGGAGGUCCUCUGGGAGAAAAGACGCAGUUGCCUGGUGACUAAAGUGUUUCCCAGUCCUCCAAAAGUCAUGCUGUGUUAUUGGGGGGGAUAAAGCUUGCCCCCCAGCAGGGUGCCCCUCUUCCAGGGCUCUAGACAAAAAAUCCAAUGAGCCCUGGCCAGACCCCAUGCAAAGCUGCAGACCUCAUUCUUGCUUCUUGCUUUGUUGACGCCUGCAG